GACGAACGCUGGCGGCGUGCUUAACACAUGCAAGUCGAACGCGCCUGUCCUCUGGGUUUCUGGGGGGUGGGUGAGUGGCGAACGGGUGAGUAACACGUGAGUAACCUGCCCCCUUCUUCGGGAUAACGGUCUGAAAGGGCUGCUAAUACCGGGUAUUCACUGGUCUCCGCAUGGGGUCUGGUGGAAAGGUUUUUUUCUGGUGGGGGAUGGGCUCGCGGCCUAUCAGCUUGUUGGUGGGGUGAUGGCCCACCAAGGCUUUGACGGGUAGCCGGCCUGAGAGGGUGACCGGUCACAUUGGGACUUAGAUGCGGCCCAGACUCCUACGGGAGGCAGCAGUGGGGAAUAUUGCACAAUGGGCGCAAGCCUGAUGCAGCGACGCCGCGUGAGGGAUGGAGGCCUUCGGGUUGUGAACCUCUUUCGCCCGUGGUCAAGCCGCGACGUGGGUCGUGGUGAGGGUAGUGGGUAAAGAAGCGCCGGCUAACUACGUG
RNAcentral lists this ribosomal RNA (488 nucleotides) under uncultured bacterium. Its description in RNAcentral is "partial 16S ribosomal RNA". It matches the Rfam family "Bacterial small subunit ribosomal RNA", at positions 28 to 507 of the family's 1533-position model. The record is from RNAcentral.